AUUGAACGCUGGCGGCAGGCUUAACACAUGCAAGUCGAGCGGUAACAGAGAGAAGCUUGCUUCUCUGCUGACGAGCGGCGGACGGGUGAGUAAUGCCUAGGAAUCUGCCUAGUAGUGGGGGAUAACUUGCCGAAAGGUAAGCUAAUACCGCAUACGUCCUACGGGAGAAAGGAGGGGACCUUCGGGCCUUUCGCUAUUAGAUGAGCCUAGGUCGGAUUAGUUAGUUGGUGAGGUAAUGGCUCACCAAGACCGCGAUCCGUAACUGGUCCGAGAGGAUGAUCAGUCACACUGGAACUGAGACACGGUCCAGACUCCUACGGGAGGCAGCAGUGGGGAAUAUUGGACAAUGGGGGGAACCCUGAUCCAGCCAUGCCGCGUGUGUGAAGAAGGUCUUAGGAUUGUAAAGCACUUUAGGUUGGGAGGAAGAGCAGUUAACUAAUAUUUGACUGUUUUGACGUUACCGACAGAAUAAGCACCGGCUAACUUCGUGCCAGCCGCCGCCGCAG
Molecule: ribosomal RNA, 506 nt
Filed under: uncultured bacterium
Lineage: Bacteria
Description: partial 16S ribosomal RNA
Rfam family: Bacterial small subunit ribosomal RNA
Source: RNAcentral